This is a non-coding RNA of Pelobates cultripes (western spadefoot toad), 209 nucleotides long. NCBI's taxonomy places the organism in Eukaryota, Metazoa, Chordata, Amphibia, Anura, Pelobatidae. The record is from the annotation of a GenBank genome assembly.
GGAAGUAUUAUAUCUUCGUUGAUGUGAAAAGCUGACACCACUUUAGGAUGAAAUUCGGGAACAGUUCGCAAAACAACUCUGUCCUUAUGAAAAACUGUAAAGGGCUCUUUCGUAGAUAAGGCAUGGAGUUCAGACACUCGUCUACCUGAGGCUAAGGCCACCAAUAGAACCGUCUUAAUGGUGAGUACCUGAGGAGAGAUGGAUUCAAG